This 278-nucleotide ribosomal RNA is filed under the name Chloropicon mariensis. Its description in RNAcentral is "partial Bacterial large subunit ribosomal RNA". It matches the Rfam family "Bacterial large subunit ribosomal RNA", at positions 1638 to 1901 of the family's 2925-position model. The record is from RNAcentral. Lineage: Eukaryota; Viridiplantae; Chlorophyta; Chloropicophyceae; Chloropicales; Chloropicaceae.
CGGCCCGUACCCCAAACCAACUCAGGUGGUCAGGUAGAGAAUACCAAGGCGAUCGAGCGAACUGUGGUUAAGGAACUCGGCAAAAUGCCCCCGUAACUUCGGGAGAAGGGGGGCCUGAGGCGUGAAGGAACUUGCUUCCGGAGCGUUUGAAGGCCGCAGAGACCAGUGGGAAGCGACUGUUUACUAAAAACACAGGUCCGUGCGAAGUCGUAAGACGAUGUAUACGGACUGACUCCUGCCCGGUGCUGGAAGGUUAAGGGGAACUGUGAGUGUAUGCG